Molecule: long non-coding RNA, 992 nt
Organism: Herpailurus yagouaroundi (jaguarundi)
Lineage: Eukaryota; Metazoa; Chordata; Mammalia; Carnivora; Felidae
Exons: 3
Source: RefSeq, a predicted model, not a curated record
UCCCGCUAAGGAAAUGAAAUAUCCUGUAUGUAACACUCCACACUAAGUCCAAAAGAUAAACUCUGGUUAAUAUAGGUGGGUUAUAUAUAGAUCAAUACCAGCCUUUGUAAGAAGGAUAUAAGUCUUAUUUGGCUGAAGGCUUAAUAUCAGACAACAGAGAGUGAGGGAGGACAAGAAUGCCAAUGUGAGUGAAGCCAGCCUGAUGAGGAAUAGAGCCAGUGAGGGAGACAAGAAUAUUCUCACUCUUCCAUGAACUUGACGCAUCCCACCUACAAGCUGCAUUUGCGCUUCAAGAAGGACAUUCACGAACUAAUUUAAACACAUCCAGAGAAGAAGGAUGACGAUGGGCUAGGAGAUCAUCUCCUAUGAGGAUCAUUUGAGAGAACUGAGGAGACUCCUCUCUACCAGGAGGUAUUUGCUCAAUGGAUGAACUUAUAAAUGAAUUACAAAGCAGGCAGCUUGUUUUCAACACUUCAGUGAGAUUUCUAAAUGGACCAGUCAUUUAAUAUAAGAAAAUGUCUAAAGUCCUGGACAACGGCCGACCCACUGAAUUUAUCACAUCGUAAAAAGCAAACUUGACUGUUACUUCAUGGAGACGUGGUGGAGAGCCCAGCAGAGGCUCAGCCUCUGCGUCUGGUCCCAUCUCCCAAGCCCUGCAGUGAGGGAGGGAGGCCAGCCUUUGUGUAGAGGGAGGCCCUGUGCGUGAAUAUGGACACAGGAGCUCAGGAAACCUGUGUCCUCCCCGGUGUCGUCAACAAUCCCGCUGUGUGACCUUGGGUAAGCAUUUUGACUUCUUUUAGAUUUUGUUUUAUCAGGUUAAAUCGAAAAUAAUGCUAUUUACCAUGCAGGAGAUUUGUAAAGAUUUAAUAAUGCAAUAUUUAAAAUGAAUACUGAAAUUUAGGUCUGGGUUUUCUGAACUGGAGAUUUGAUCCAACACACCAUUACUUUGUUGUUGUUUCUGUUGUUAGUGUGUAAUGCAGAAUUAAGGAUUA